GAUGAAGAACGUAGCGAAAUGCGAUAAGUAAUGUGAAUUGCAGAAUUCAGUGAAUCAUCGAAUCUUUGAACGCACAUUGCGCCCGCCAGUAUUCUGGCGGGCAUGCCUGUCCGAGCGUCAUUUCAACCCUCGGGCCCCCCUCUGCGGGCGGCCCGGCGUUGGGGCUCAGGCGCCGUCUCUGCUCGGCGCCUGUCCCCUAAAUGCAGUGGCGGCCUCGCCGCUGCCUCCUCCGCGUAGUAGCACAAACCUCGCGGCUGGAAGGCGGCGCGGCCACGCCGUAAAACCCCCCAACUUUACCAAGGUUGACCUCGGAUCAGGUAGGAAUACCCGCUGAACUUAAGCAUAUCAAUAAGCGGAGGA
RNAcentral lists this unclassified non-coding RNA (360 nucleotides) under soil metagenome. Its description in RNAcentral is "partial contains 5.8S ribosomal RNA, internal transcribed spacer 2, and large subunit ribosomal RNA". The stretch from base 1 to 120 matches the Rfam family "5.8S ribosomal RNA", at positions 35 to 154 of the family's 154-position model. The record is from RNAcentral.